UUAAUAUUAAAUUAAAUUAAAUUUAAUAUUUCAAUUUGAUACUGGUCAAUGAUAUAAACAAAAGAAAGCACAUGAGUGACUUAGGCGGUUUUCAUAUCAGUUGCUGCAUAGUUCUCAAAAAGUAACUUGAAACAUCAAGUUUGUGCAUACCAGUGA
RNAcentral lists this long non-coding RNA (156 nucleotides) under Polistes fuscatus (common paper wasp). RNAcentral's name for it is "uncharacterized LOC122518790". Lineage: Eukaryota; Metazoa; Arthropoda; Insecta; Hymenoptera; Vespidae. The record is from RNAcentral.